Molecule: long non-coding RNA, 731 nt
Filed under: Pan troglodytes (chimpanzee)
Lineage: Eukaryota; Metazoa; Chordata; Mammalia; Primates; Hominidae
Description: long non-coding RNA NONPTRT009800
Source: RNAcentral
AGAAUAGGAAAGGGAAUGGUGACCAGUUAAAAGAUGGAGCAUUGGUGGCUUAGGAGUCCCAAAUGUAAGGAAGUUGUCACAUCAGGACACUAAGAGGAAGAAGACAGAAUAUCAUUUGGAGGUGGAGGUCUGAGACGGGGGGUUAAAAGUAGCAGUUCGGCAGCAGCUACUGUUCUUGCCAAUGAUAAUAUGACCAGGUCAGCAGGUGGCCAAAGAACAGAUCCUUGGCAGCAGGCAGGUCUGGGCCCUAGGUCCUGGGUUGGAUGGGCUGUCUACAUCCAUGAUGCUGAAAUCCUGGCGAAGGGAGGUGGAGGGAAUAGCGGCUGAGAGACAGACGGGGAGCCACUGCGUGUGUGAUCCUGGCUGACGUGGAUUGCCUGGGAGGAAGGCAUGUGGCUGGAACCAGGGAGAUCACUCCAGAGCCUGUGCACCAAAGGUGCUGCGAGGUUUGAGGAAGGAGAGAGGGACAAUGAUCGGGAAGAAGCAACGAGGAACUUGGGAGAGCCCGACCCCAUCUCCAGCCUUUUGGGACAGGGAGCCUGGAAGGAAAAAGCAGCCCCCUUGAAGGGUUGAAAGGAAGCCGUGUCCUCACUCAGGGAAGAGUCAGGACAAGCUCCAUGGAGGAUGUGGGCAAAACACCAUCUUUUUCUUUUCUUUUCUUUUGAGACGGUUUCCUUUUGUCUCCCAGGCUGGUGCGUGCAGUGGCACCAUCUCGGCUCGCUGCAGCCUCC